CCUACGGGUGGCAGCAGUGAGGAAUAUUGGUCAAUGGACGAGAGUCUGAACCAGCCAAGUAGCGUGAAGGAUGACUGCCCUAUGGGUUGUACACUUCUUUUAUAUGGGAAUAAAACAGGGUAUGCAUACCCUCUUGUAUGUACCAUAUGAAUAAGGAUCGGCUAACUCCGUGCCAGCAGCCGCGGUAAUACGGAGGAUCCGAGCGUUAUCCGGAUUUAUUGGGUUUAAAGGGAGCGUAGGUGGAUUGUUAAGUCAGUUGUGAAAGUUUGCGGCUCAACCGUAAAAUUGCAGUUGAAACUGGCAGUCUUGAGUACAGUAGAGGUGGGCGGAAUUCGUGGUGUAGCGGUGAAAUGCUUAGAUAUCACGAAGAACUCCGAUUGCGAAGGCAGCUUACUAAACUAUAACUGACACUGAAGCACGAAAGCGUGGGGAUCAAACAGGAUUAGAUACCCUGGUAGUC
RNAcentral lists this ribosomal RNA (460 nucleotides) under uncultured bacterium. RNAcentral describes it as "partial 16S ribosomal RNA". It matches the Rfam family "Bacterial small subunit ribosomal RNA", at positions 338 to 795 of the family's 1533-position model. The record is from RNAcentral.